GAUGAACGCUGGCGGCGUGCCUAAUACAUGCAAGUCGAGCGAACGGACGAGAAGCUUGCUUCUCUGAUGUUAGCGGCGGACGGGUGAGUAACACGUGGAUAACCUACCUAUAAGACUGGGAUAACUUCGGGAAACCGGAGCUAAUACCGGAUAAUAUUAUGAACCGCAUGGUUCAAAAGUGAAAGACGGUCUUGCUGUCACUUCUAGAUGGAUCCGCGCUGCAUUAGCUAGUUGGUAAGGUAACGGCUUACCAAGGCAACGAUGCAUAGCCGACCUGAGAGGGUGAUCGGCCACACUGGAACUGAGACACGGUCCAGACUCCUACGGGAGGCAGCAGUAGGGAAUCUUCCGCAAUGGGCGAAAGCCUGACGGAGCAACGCCGCGUGAGUGAUGAAGGUCUUCGGAUCGUAAAACUCUGUUAUUAGGGAAGAACAUAUGUGUAAGUAACUGUGCACAUCUUGACGGUACCUAAUCAGAAAGCCACGGCUAACUACGUG
RNAcentral lists this ribosomal RNA (497 nucleotides) under uncultured bacterium. RNAcentral's name for it is "partial 16S ribosomal RNA". It matches the Rfam family "Bacterial small subunit ribosomal RNA", at positions 28 to 507 of the family's 1533-position model. The record is from RNAcentral.